This 429-nucleotide ribosomal RNA is filed under the name Bacillota bacterium. RNAcentral describes it as "Firmicutes bacterium partial 16S ribosomal RNA". It matches the Rfam family "Bacterial small subunit ribosomal RNA", at positions 355 to 776 of the family's 1533-position model. The record is from RNAcentral. Lineage: Bacteria; Bacillati; Bacillota.
UAGGGAAUCUUCGGCAAUGGACGGAAGUCUGACCGAGCAACGCCGCGUGAGUGAAGAAGGUUUUCGGAUCGUAAAGCUCUGUUGUUAGAGAAGAACGUUGGUAGGAGUGGAAAAUCUACCAAGUGACGGUAACUAACCAGAAAGGGACGGCUAACUACGUGCCAGCAGCCGCGGUAAUACGUAGGUCCCGAGCGUUGUCCGGAUUUAUUGGGCGUAAAGCGAGCGCAGGCGGUUCUUUAAGUCUGAAGUUAAAGGCGGUGGCUUAACCAUUGUACGCUUUGGAAACUGGAGGACUUGAGGGCAGAAGGGGAGAGUGGAAUUCCAGGUGUAGCGGUGAAAUGCGUAGAUAUAUGGAGGAACACCGGUGGAGAAGGCGGCUCUCUGGGCUGUAACUGACGCUGAGGCUCGAAAGCGUGGGGAGCAAACAGG